RNAcentral lists this transfer RNA (45 nucleotides) under Cnemaspis omari. RNAcentral describes it as "partial tRNA-Cys". Lineage: Eukaryota; Metazoa; Chordata; Lepidosauria; Squamata; Gekkonidae. The record is from RNAcentral.
AGGGGUUUCUGGCUUCUCCCGUUUUUUCCCCUCAGACGGGAGAAC